GCCAAGGUUGUGUAAGGGUUAGCACAAAGGCCUGUGGAGCCUUUAGUCCGGGUUCGAAUCCCGGCCUUGGCC
The sequence is a transfer RNA, 72 nucleotides long. It matches the Rfam family "tRNA". Rfam says of the family: Transfer RNA (tRNA) molecules are approximately 80 nucleotides in length. Their secondary structure includes four short double-helical elements and three loops (D, anti-codon, and T loops).